UACAGAGGUGGCAAGCGUUGUUCGGAAUUACUGGGCGUAAAGGGCUCGUAGGCGGCCAACUAAGUCCGACGUGAAAUCCCAAAGCUUAACUUUGGAACUGCGUCGGAUACUGGAUGGCUUGAAUUCGGGAGAGGGAUGCAGAAUUCCAGGUGUAGCGGUGAAAUGCGUAGAUAUCUGGAGGAAUACCGGUGGCGAAGGCGGCAUCCUGGACCGACAUUGACGCUGAGGAGCGGAAGCUAGGGGAGCAAACGGG
This 253-nucleotide ribosomal RNA is filed under the name uncultured bacterium. Its description in RNAcentral is "partial 16S ribosomal RNA". It matches the Rfam family "Bacterial small subunit ribosomal RNA", at positions 524 to 776 of the family's 1533-position model. The record is from RNAcentral.